UACGGAGGAUGCAAGCGUUAUCCGGAAUGAUUGGGCGUAAAGCGUCCGCAGGUGGCUAUGUAAGUCUGCUGUUAAAGAGUCUGGCUCAACCAGAUAAAGGCAGUGGAAACUACAUGGCUAGAGUGCGUUCGGGGCAAAGGGAAUUCCUGGUGUAGCGGUGAAAUGCGUAGAGAUCAGGAAGAACACCGGUGGCGAAAGCGCUCUGCUAGGCCGCAACUGACACUGAGGGACGAAAGCUAGGGGAACGAAUGGG
RNAcentral lists this ribosomal RNA (253 nucleotides) under uncultured bacterium. RNAcentral describes it as "partial 16S ribosomal RNA". It matches the Rfam family "Bacterial small subunit ribosomal RNA", at positions 524 to 776 of the family's 1533-position model. The record is from RNAcentral.